CGGCGUGCCUAACACAUGCAAGUCGAGCGAUGAAACCCUUCGGGGUGGAUUAGCGGCGGACGGGUGAGUAACACGUGGGUAACCUGCCUCAAAGAGGGGGAUAGCCUCCCGAAAGGGAGAUUAAUACCGCAUAACAUUAGUUUUUCGCAUGGAGAACUAAUUAAAGGAGUAAUCCGCUUUGAGAUGGACCCGCGGCGCAUUAGCUAGUUGGUGAGGUAAAGGCUCACCAAGGCGACGAUGCGUAGCCGACCUGAGAGGGGUGAUCGGCCACAUUGGAACUGAGACACGGUCCAGACUCCUACGGGAGGCAGCAGUGGGGAAUAUUGCACAAUGGGCGAAAGCCUGAUGCAGCAACGCCGCGUGAGUGAUGAAGGCCUUCGGGUUGUAAAGCUCUGUCUUUUGGGACGAUAAUGACGGUACCAAAGGAGGAAGCCACGGCUAACUACGUGCCAGCAGCCGCGGUAAUACGUAGGUGGCGAGCGUUGUCCGGAUUUACUGGGCGUAAAGGAUGCGUAGGCGGAUUUUUAAGUGAGAUGUGAAAUACCCGGGCUUAACUUGGGUGCUGCAUUUCAAACUGGAAGUCUAGAGUGCGGG
Molecule: ribosomal RNA, 594 nt
Filed under: uncultured prokaryote
Description: bacterial SSU rRNA
Rfam family: Bacterial small subunit ribosomal RNA
Source: RNAcentral